UACGUAGGGCGCAAGCGUUAUCCGGAAUUAUUGGGCGUAAAGAGCUCGUAGGCGGUUUGUCGCGUCUGCCGUGAAAGUCCGGGGCUCAACUCCGGAUCUGCGGUGGGUACGGGUAGACUAGAGUGAUGUAGGGGAGACUGGAAUUCCUGGUGUAGCGGUGAAAUGCGCAGAUAUCAGGAGGAACACCGAUGGCGAAGGCAGAUCUCUGGGCCGUAACUGACGCUGAGGAGCGAAAGCGUGGGGAGCGAACAGG
This 253-nucleotide ribosomal RNA is filed under the name uncultured bacterium. RNAcentral describes it as "partial 16S ribosomal RNA". It matches the Rfam family "Bacterial small subunit ribosomal RNA", at positions 524 to 776 of the family's 1533-position model. The record is from RNAcentral.